UCCCUACGGGGUGCACCAGGCGCGAAAACUUUACAAUGCGGGCAACCGUGAUAAGGGAACCUCGAGUGCCUGUAUAUGCAGGCUGUCCAGGUGUCUAAAACACACCGAGAAAGCGUUCCUGA
This 122-nucleotide ribosomal RNA is filed under the name uncultured archaeon. RNAcentral describes it as "partial 16S ribosomal RNA". It matches the Rfam family "Archaeal small subunit ribosomal RNA", at positions 319 to 446 of the family's 1478-position model. The record is from RNAcentral.